GGGCCCUUGGCGCAGCGGUUAGCGCAGCGGACUCAUAAUCCGUUGGUCCCAGGUUCGAAUCCUGGAGGGCCCACCA
RNAcentral lists this transfer RNA (76 nucleotides) under Acidobacteriota bacterium. RNAcentral describes it as "Acidobacteria bacterium (termitarium metagenome) tRNA-Ile". It matches the Rfam family "tRNA". Rfam says of the family: Transfer RNA (tRNA) molecules are approximately 80 nucleotides in length. Their secondary structure includes four short double-helical elements and three loops (D, anti-codon, and T loops). Lineage: Bacteria; Pseudomonadati; Acidobacteriota. The record is from RNAcentral.